UGUGGCUUUUGUGACAACGGUCGUAAGAGUAGCUGCUCACCGAUUUGAGGCUCCAACGCAGGUCCACCACCACAUCCGCUAUGUGGGUGUCUGCUAUCACCAGUUAAGACUUGAUCUGAUUUGAAUCAAAGUAAUACAUUAGAAAAGCAGAUGGUGCAUUACCUCUCCUAAACAGGUGUUCUACUCCCCUAGCCAGCACCUCUCCUAAACAGGUGUUCUACUCCCCUAGCCAGCACCUCUCCUAAACAGGUGUUCUACUCCCCUAGCCAGCACCUCUCCUAAACAGGUGUUCUACUCUGCUAGCCAGCACCUCUCCUAAACAGGUGUUCUACUCCCCUAGCCAGCACCUCUCCUAAACAGGUGUUCUACUCUGCUAGCCAGCACCUCUCCUAAACAGGUGUUCUACUCUGCUAGCCAGCACCUCUCCUAAACAGGUGUUCUACUCUGCUAGCCAGCACCUCUCCUAAACAGGUGUUCUACUCCCCUAGCCAGCACCUCUCCUAAACAGGUGUUCUCCUCCCCUAGCCAGCACCUCUCCUAAACAGGUGUUCUACUCCCCUAGCCAGCACCUCUCCUAAACAGGUGUUCUACUCCCCUAGCCAGCACCUCUCCUAAACAGGUGUUCUACUCCCCUAGCCAGCACCUCUCCUAAACAGGUGUUCUCCUCCCCUAGCCAGCACCUCUCCUAAACAGGUGUUCUACUCCCCUAGCCAGCACCUCUCCUAAACAGGUGUUCUACUCCCCUAGCCAGCACCUCUCCUAAACAGGUGUUCUACUCUGCUAGCCAGCACCUCUCCUAAACAGGUGUUCUACUCCCCUAGCCAGCACCUCUCCUAAACAGGUGUUCUACUCCCCUAGCCAGCACCUCUCCUAAACAGGUGUUCUCCUCCCCUAGCCAGCACCUCUCCUAAACAGGUGUUCUACUCCCCUAGCCAGCACCUCUCCUAAACAGGUGUUCUACUCCCCUAGCCAGCACCUCUCCUAAACAGGUGUUCUACUCCCCUAGCCAGCACCUCUCCUAAACAGGUGUUCUCCUCCCCUAGCCAGCACCUCUCCUAAACAGGUGUUCUACUCCCCUAGCCAGCACCUCUCCUAAACAGGUGUUCUACUCCCCUAGCCAGCACCUCUCCUAAACAGGUGUUCUACUCUGCUAGCCAGCACCUCUCCUAAACAGGUGUUCUACUCUGCUAGCCAGCACCUCUCCUAAACAGGUGUUCUACUCUGCUAGCCAGCACCUCUCCUAAACAGGUGUUCUACUCCCCUAGCCAGCACCUCUCCUAAACAGGUGUUCUACUCCCCUAGCCAGCACCUCUCCUAAACAGGUGUUCUACUCCCCUAGCCAGCACCUCUCCUAAACAGGUGUUCUACUCCCCUAGCCAGCACCUCUCCUAAACAGGUGUUCUCCUCCCCUAGCCAGCACCUCUCCUAAACAGGUGUUCUACUCCCCUAGCCAGCACCUCUCCUAAACAGGUGUUCUACUCCCCUAGCCAGCACCUCUCCUAAACAGGUGUUCUCCUCCCCUAGCCAGCACCUCUCCUAAACAGGUGUUCUACUCCCCUAGCCAGCACCUCUCCUAAACAGGUGUUCUACUCCCCUAGCCAGCACCUCUCCUAAACAGGUGUUCUCCUCCCCUAGCCAGCA
Long non-coding RNA from Oncorhynchus keta (chum salmon), 1641 nucleotides. RefSeq lists it as uncharacterized. NCBI's taxonomy places the organism in Eukaryota, Metazoa, Chordata, Actinopteri, Salmoniformes, Salmonidae. The transcript has 6 exons. The record is from RefSeq and is a predicted model, not a curated record.